UAAUACGUAGGAGGCGAGCGUUAUCCGGAUUUAUUGGGCGUAAAGAGGGCGUAGGCGGUUCUUCAAGUCGGAUGUGAAAUCUCCCGGCUCAACCGGGAGGGGUCAUCCGAUACUGUUGGGCUAGAGGGCAGUAGAGGAAGGUGGAAUUCCCGGUGUAGUGGUGAAAUGCGUAGAUAUCGGGAGGAACACCAGUGGCGAAGGCGGCCUUCUGGGCUGUUUCUGACGCUGAGGAGCGAAAGCUAGGGGAGCAAACGGGAUUAGAUACCCCGGUAGUCCUAGCUGUAAACGAUGGAUACUAGGUGUGGGAGGUAUCGACCCCAUCCGUGCCGAAGCUAACGCGAUAAGUAUCCCGCCUGGGGACUACGGCCGCAAGGUUA
RNAcentral lists this ribosomal RNA (377 nucleotides) under uncultured Chloroflexota bacterium. Its description in RNAcentral is "bacterial SSU rRNA". It matches the Rfam family "Bacterial small subunit ribosomal RNA", at positions 521 to 896 of the family's 1533-position model. Lineage: Bacteria; Bacillati; Chloroflexota. The record is from RNAcentral.